Molecule: long non-coding RNA, 1453 nt
Organism: Electrophorus electricus (electric eel)
Lineage: Eukaryota; Metazoa; Chordata; Actinopteri; Gymnotiformes; Gymnotidae
Source: Ensembl
GGAGCGGACUCUCUGUUUCCCAGUCUGGAGUGUCUGCAGGCUGCUCGUGUGUCUGUGUUGCCAGACGCCCUGGGCGGUCCCCUGCUCCCGCACCCUUCCUCUGCGGUCCCGAUGCUGGCCUCACCCUUAUCGUCCACUCCCGCUCCACCCCUGGACCAGUUCCCUCCUGCGCAGGUGGCCAACGCCCUCCUGCCCCACCCGGCCUUGGACGCGGCUCAGGACGAACGUUCCGGCAGCCGGUUCGACCCUGUGCCGGUGCUCCUCUCCAAAACGCCCAGCCAAGAGGCAAAAGGGACUAAUGGGUAUGGGAAGCUUCUGGAGGCCGCCGAAGCGGAGAUCCCUGCCGAGGGCUGCUUCCAUUCCAGUGACGAAGAGGACGAUGAACGCAAGAGCAAGGAGGUGCAGCUGAGUGGCAGCGGUUCCCGGCCGUUACUGCAGGAUUCCGACGAAGAGGAGCGGGAGACGGCAGCUUCCGGAAGCCUCUGUGCUCCCUCCAGCCUGCAGCCUGCCGCUACCCCGCACUCCUCUCUGAUUACCCAUCAGGCCCCCGGGCAGGCCGGUCGAUCGGAACCCGAUGCCGACGUCUUCUCCCAAGCUCCGUUCCGGAUGGCGCAGGGGGCCGACGGUGGCGGCAGCGACGACGUGUUUGCUAACGCUCCGUUCCUCCGGCCUUCUGCUCCGCCCCACCCGCCCGACGUCUUCCUCCAAGCCCCCUUCUGCAGGCGAAAGGAAACCCGGGGCUCCUUGUACCCCCAUCCGGUCACCCUGUCCGGCUCGCAGCACCCCCACCCGGUGAUCUCUUACCCUGGCGGCAACGAGCACAGCAUCCUCAGCCAGGUGGCUCCUCAGCCCUUUCGACCGCAGGCUUUAGCCAAAUACUCCAGACAUUACGAGGGACCCCUCGCCUCUGAGGCUGAUGGGGCCCAGUUAGGGGAGUCCGGCAUGGGCAAUAAGGGUCCGGUCGCUUCCUGUACGCCUGACGUAAAUGAUCCAUUUGUUUCUGCACCCUUCCAUCUUAAAGCCCCCCAGGAGAAGCACUGACACUACAAGUCCCAUACACUACGCUCAAAAAGACCCCUAGAAUUGAGCUGCACCUUGCAAGUCUGCACCCAGUGUAUUAUGUUUUGUAGUCCAUUGUUUUAAGAACCCAGAGAUGUAGAGAUGCCAAGAUAAGUGUGAAUCCCUUUGAUUAAAAGCUGCUCCGUGAAUACGUUGCAGCCAUAAUGUUAAAUAUCGUUCAAGAAAGAAGCACAUUUGUGUCUUGUGGAGGGGUCUUCUGUAGGGCUGCCCCCUUAUUCCUCGCAAAAUGGGGGUUGUCUUAUCAUCUGUUCUUUGCCUACCUCAGUCUGGUCCUAUGCUGAGAGAGACUGUCCAUUUUUUUCGGCCUAGUGCAUGUCUAAAUAAUGUAUAAUUAGGUGGUUUUGCAUUGCUUUGAGGUUGACCAUCAAUCAUU